RNA transcript from Tyto alba (common barn owl), 426 nucleotides. It is a transcript of the gene named RIIa domain-containing protein 1-like, with no coding region annotated. The transcript is spliced from 3 exons. NCBI's taxonomy places the organism in Eukaryota, Metazoa, Chordata, Aves, Strigiformes, Tytonidae. The record is from RefSeq and is a predicted model, not a curated record.
GGGCACACGCACCCACACACCCCGUGGGGACACGGGCACACGCGGGGGGGACACAGGGCAGCCCACGCUCCGCCUGAGCAGCGAGAGGUACCUGCGGGCCCACCCGGGGGUCCGGCUGCUGCUGCGGGGGUUCCUCAGGGAGCUGCUGCUCCAUCAACCGACCAACAUCCCGGAGUUCGCUGCAGGUGAGGGGGGGCUGGGGGGUCCCCAUGGCUGGGGGGUGUGGGGGGGGGGGUCCCAGCCGCCCACUCACCCCCCGCCCCCCCCCCCCCCCCCCAGGGUACUUCUCGCAGCCGGAGCUGCCGCGGCGGAUCCAGGAGGAGCUGGGGGGGUCGGCACCCUGAGGGGGGGGGGGGGUCUCACCCCAAUCCCAGGCGGUGACACCCCACACUGGGUGCUGCUGUGGCGUCACCCAGAGCUCGGGGG